Molecule: transfer RNA, 76 nt
Filed under: Caldimonas mangrovi
Lineage: Bacteria; Pseudomonadati; Pseudomonadota; Betaproteobacteria; Burkholderiales; Sphaerotilaceae
Description: tRNA-Gly
Rfam family: tRNA
About the family: Transfer RNA (tRNA) molecules are approximately 80 nucleotides in length. Their secondary structure includes four short double-helical elements and three loops (D, anti-codon, and T loops).
Source: RNAcentral
GCGGAUAUUGCUCAGCAGGGAAAGCGCGACCACGCCAUGGUCGAGGCCCCGGGUUCAAGCCCCGGUAUCCGCUCCA